This 467-nucleotide ribosomal RNA is filed under the name uncultured bacterium. RNAcentral's name for it is "partial 16S ribosomal RNA". It matches the Rfam family "Bacterial small subunit ribosomal RNA", at positions 28 to 506 of the family's 1533-position model. The record is from RNAcentral.
GACGAACGCUGGCGGCGUGCUUAACACAUGCAAGUCGAACGGAAAGGCCCUGCUUUUGUGGGGUGCUCGAGUGGCGAACGGGUGAGUAACACGUGAGUAACCUGCCCUUGACUUUGGGAUAACUUCAGGAAACUGGGGCUAAUACCGGAUAGGAGCUCCUGCUGCAUGGUGGGGGUUGGAAAGUUUCGGCGGUUGGGGAUGGACUCGCGGCUUAUCAGCUUGUUGGUGGGGUAGUGGCUUACCAAGGCUUUGACGGGUAGCCGGCCUGAGAGGGUGACCGGCCACAUUGGGACUGAGAUACGGCCCAGACUCCUACGGGAGGCAGCAGUGGGGAAUAUUGCACAAUGGGCGGAAGCCUGAUGCAGCAACGCCGCGUGCGGGAUGACGACCUUCGGGUUGUAAACCGCUUUCGCCUGUGACGAAGCGUGAGUGACGGUAAUGGGUAAAGAAACACCGGCUAACUACGU